CAGUCGCCGCGGGAAUACGUAGGGUGCGAGCGUUAAUCGGAAUUACUGGGCGUAAAGCGUGCGCAGGCGGUUUUGUAAGACAGAGGUGAAAUCCCCGGGCUCAACCUGGGAACUGCCUUUGUGACUGCAAGGCUAGAGUACGGCAGAGGGGGAUGGAAUUCCGCGUGUAGCAGUGAAAUGCGUAGAUAUGCGGAGGAACACCGAUGGCGAAGGCAAUCCCCUGGGCCUGUACUGACGCUCAUGCACGAAAGCGUGGGGAGCAAACAGGAUUAGAUACCCGUGUAGUCCCUGUCUCUUAUAA
RNAcentral lists this ribosomal RNA (301 nucleotides) under uncultured bacterium. RNAcentral's name for it is "partial 16S ribosomal RNA". It matches the Rfam family "Bacterial small subunit ribosomal RNA", at positions 509 to 809 of the family's 1533-position model. The record is from RNAcentral.